GGCCGGUUGGCCCAAUGGCAAGGCGUCUGACUACGAUUCCAUCGUGCGAUCAGGAGAUUCUGGGUUCGACCCCCAGGCUGGUCA
RNAcentral lists this transfer RNA (84 nucleotides) under Colletotrichum tropicale. RNAcentral's name for it is "tRNA-Arg". It matches the Rfam family "tRNA". Rfam says of the family: Transfer RNA (tRNA) molecules are approximately 80 nucleotides in length. Their secondary structure includes four short double-helical elements and three loops (D, anti-codon, and T loops). The record is from RNAcentral. Lineage: Eukaryota; Fungi; Ascomycota; Sordariomycetes; Glomerellales; Glomerellaceae. RNAcentral also lists the same sequence under 3 other names.